Molecule: long non-coding RNA, 1496 nt
Organism: Pezoporus occidentalis (night parrot)
Lineage: Eukaryota; Metazoa; Chordata; Aves; Psittaciformes; Psittacidae
Exons: 4
Source: RefSeq, a predicted model, not a curated record
UUGUGCUUCUUUUUCUUCUGAUGUAGAGGUAUGAAGUCCCAUUCUCUUUGUUGGGUAAAAGCUGCUGGGUUCUCCUGGAAAUCAGGUUACAACCACUGUGUGAGUCAGCUUCCAGGUAUGUUUGUCAGGACUACUGAACCUUGCUUGUGUGUCCCAAGGAGACUUCUGCUUCCAGAUGGCUAUGUUGGAGAAACCUUGGGCACCGUUAUGUGUGCAGCAGUCCUGUCUGCAACAGAGUUACAGCUGAUUGAGCUGCAGCAGUGAUAGUUCGCUCUGCAAGCUACCUGCAAGCACUGCUGGCCAAUGAGCAGCUCCUACUAUGGCUUGCACCCUCCAAGCAAGCUUUGGUGAAGAAAACUAGAGAAAGGAAGAAGGAAUUGGGAACAACUGUAAUAAAUACAGUUUAUUACAGGAAGACAGACUCGGGAGUCCUCUGAAUGUUUUCUUUCAGAAAUAAGCCAAAAAUGCAUCCUGGCCAAACCUUAGCUUCCUGAAAAUUUGACAGAAUUAAUUUCUUCUCUGUAAUAUAGACUAUCCUUUUGGAAAAAUAACUGGAGUUUUACUAACCCAUGCAGAAUAGAUUGUCCAGUUUUCCUAUGACUGCUGCCAUAAGUCCUAGCCUAAUUAUAGGUAUGAAGUGUAGGCAAGUGUAAUUAUGAUGCAGACAGAUUUAUGUGUCCCCUGACAGGUUUUCAAAUAACAAAAGAAUAUAAAUAUUGGAUGUAUGGUAAGAAAAUAUCCAUUAUUAAAAUCAAUCCACAAGCUUGUACCAUAAAAAAAGCUCUCUUCUUUAACACAGCUGUCAGCCCCACUGAGAUUUUAAAUUGGAGUUUGUCUAGUGUAACUCUCUAUUUAAAAAGAAAAAUCAGAAGUAUUAAACUUUUAUCUUAGGUUUUUAAAAUACAGGAAGCUAAUAUAAUUGCUGUACCAAUACAGAGUUAUGAGCUUUUUAGGUUCUUCAGUUUUUUGCAAAGAAUGGUUACAUCUUUUGAUUCAUGUAGUAAGUCUUUUCCCUGUAUAAAUUUGCCAUAUACUUUCUCUUCAGGAAAAAAAAGUCCCAACAACUCCAUCCCUUCCCCUUCUCUGGACCAUUUGAUGUGGCUUUUUGGUUUGUAACUUUCACUUGAGAGUUGGCUGUAUUUCAGUUACUAGUCACUGCGCAGACUUUCUGUGUGAAUUAGUGGAGUGUACGUGGCAUCUGGAGAUCUAAGGAAUUGAAAAGUAUGGUUCAAAUGUCAGACUACAACUUGAAAGGUUUCUGGAGAUGCGGAGCCAGGUCUGUGGCCUGACUGAGGCAGUGCCCAUGCUAAACUCAACAGAAAAAGCCACUGGGUAACAAAAUUAUGUCCCCUGUUGGACCCGUGGCAUGUGCAACAUGGCUUCCAGUUUCAGCAUAAAAAAAAGUAGUUUACAGGGUGACACAAAUUCCCAAGCCUGUGAGAACAAGGGCUGGAUAUGUUACCUCUGUCAGUGGUGCUUAAGAGAAACUAAGAACU